CAGCAGCCGCGGGAAUACGAAGGGUGCAAGCGUUACUCGGAAUUACUGGGCGUAAAGCGUGCGUAGGUGGUGGUUUAAGUCCGUUGUGAAAGCCCUGGGCUCAACCUGGGAAUUGCAGUGGAUACUGGGUCACUAGAGUGUGGUAGAGGAUAGUGGAAUUUCCGGUGUAGCAGUGAAAUGCGUAGAGAUCGGAAGGAACAUCUGUGGCGAAGGCGACUAUCUGGGCCAACACUGACACUGAGGCACGAAAGCGUGGGGAGCAAACAGGAUUAGAUACCCCAGUAGUCCUGUCUCUUAUACA
This 301-nucleotide ribosomal RNA is filed under the name uncultured bacterium. Its description in RNAcentral is "partial 16S ribosomal RNA". It matches the Rfam family "Bacterial small subunit ribosomal RNA", at positions 509 to 809 of the family's 1533-position model. The record is from RNAcentral.